This is a non-coding RNA of Phalacrocorax carbo (great cormorant), 521 nucleotides long. The record is from RefSeq and is a predicted model, not a curated record. NCBI's taxonomy places the organism in Eukaryota, Metazoa, Chordata, Aves, Suliformes, Phalacrocoracidae.
CGUCGGGGGCGGGAGCGAGGCCAGCAGGGGGCGUGGCGCCGGCAGGCUGGGCGGAGGCGGGCGGGAGCCGGGAGGCGGAGGCAGCCGGCGGGAACCGAUGGGAGGCCGGUAGGCCGGACGUGGUGUGGGAAACAACAUGGACCCUCUCAGCCCCGCGCUCUCUCUCGCUCCUAGGAAACGCUGUCUCCCACGACACGGGCGCUGCCGAGAGGCAGGCGUGUCGCGGGUGAAACCUGGCGGUGCGAAGCACCGGUGGCAUCGCUGCUGUGCGUGGCGGAUGGAGGCAUGGGAGUCAGGCCCCAGCUGGACACGUCAACCUGGAAAACACCUUAAUGUGGGUCAGCGCUGGCUUUAUGAAAUAACAGGCUAUUUUUAGCUUCAGUUAGUCUGAUGCUGUUCUAGUUAGAUUUAACUGAUUAAGCCUUUCUUCUGCGUGUUAUGUUUUUGUUACUAUAGAGAUUACAAGAGUCUGCAGAAGUUGUUUUUGAUCUAUACAAUAAACAGCUCAAUUCUGAAUCUCA